This 464-nucleotide ribosomal RNA is filed under the name uncultured bacterium. RNAcentral describes it as "bacterial SSU rRNA". It matches the Rfam family "Bacterial small subunit ribosomal RNA", at positions 30 to 487 of the family's 1533-position model. The record is from RNAcentral.
AUUGAACGCUGGCGGCAUGCCUUACACAUGCAAGUCGAACGGCAGCACGGGAGCAAUCCUGGUGGCGAGUGGCGAACGGGUGAGUAAUAUAUCGGAACGUGCCCAGUCGUGGGGGAUAACGUAGCGAAAGCUACGCUAAUACCGCAUACGAUCUAUGGAUGAAAGCGGGGGAUCGCAAGACCUCGCGCGAUUGGAGCGGCCGAUAUCAGAUUAGGUAGUUGGUGAGGUAAAGGCUCACCAAGCCGACGAUCUGUAGCUGGUCUGAGAGGACGACCAGCCACACUGGGACUGAGACACGGCCCAGACUCCUACGGGAGGCAGCAGUGGGGAAUUUUGGACAAUGGACGCAAGUCUGAUCCAGCCAUUCCGCGUGCAGGAUGAAGGCCCUCGGGUUGUAAACUGCUUUUGUACGGAACGAAAGGUCUCUCUUUAAUACGGGGGGCUCAUGACGGUACCGUAAGAAU